RNAcentral lists this non-coding RNA (29 nucleotides) under Homo sapiens (human). Lineage: Eukaryota; Metazoa; Chordata; Mammalia; Primates; Hominidae. The record is from RNAcentral.
UCAUUCAAAGCACAGGGAUUUGGGAUUGA